AUGGCUGGAAUGCGUGAGAUGGCGAUAUUCUACUCACAGGAGCGCAGCUUAUUCCACCGGCUGGUGCGCGACCUCGGGCAGGAGAAGGAGCAUAUGAGGUGGGUGAUCGCGCUCUGGCUCUGGUUCGAGGCCGAUGGGAACGACAAAUUCAUGCGCCGCGCGGCCGCGCUCCCGGGCCCCGUCGUGCUGCGCUUCGUCGACGAGGCGCUGGCGUGCCUCGCCCGCCUCGCCGGCCGCGUGCUCGCCGGCGCCAGCACGCUCCUCCCCUGCACCAACGCGCUCCUCAACAAGCCCAUCGACGACGUCACCUACUUCGACGAGCACCGCGACAACAUCAUGCCCCGCGUCAAGUUACUGUACAAGACCGUCUGCCGCGUCGUCCUCGACGACGCCUGCGCCUCCGACAACGCCCUGAACGCGAUGGCGCCGCCGUGGGCCCCGAUCUGGCUGGCGCAGCCGUACCAGCCCCAGCCCCAGCACCAGCACCAGCAGCAUCAGAUGAUGAUCGUCGACCGCCUUCCAGAGGAGUUCCGCUCGCUCUUCAUCCGACAUCAGGGAGUUCUUCAACUCGGGCGCCCGUGCGUGGAGGACGUGAUGGUGGAGAGGGCGGCGCCUGGGCAGAUGCCGGUGUACGGGAGGGUGGUGCUGCAGAGCCCGGACAUGAUCCCGGCGCUGCUCGGGGGCGAGCCGACGGCCAAGUUCAUCAUCAAGGGCAGGCACCUCUGGGCCAGGGUGUACGUGCCCUGCUCCAGGCACACCUUCCAAGCCUGA
This 771-nucleotide ribosomal RNA is filed under the name Triticum aestivum (bread wheat). RNAcentral describes it as "partial small subunit ribosomal RNA". Lineage: Eukaryota; Viridiplantae; Streptophyta; Magnoliopsida; Poales; Poaceae. The record is from RNAcentral.